GCAAGUCGAGGGGUAACAGGAGCGCUUGUCUCGCUGAGACCGGCGCACGGAUGCGUACCGCGUAUGCAACCUACCUCUUACAGGAUGAUAGCCCUCCGAAAUUGGGGUUAAUACUCCAUACUAUUGUUUUUUCGCAUGAUUAAGCAAUUAAAGUUCCGGCGGUAAGAGAUGGGCAUGCGUGACAUUAGCUAGUUGGUAAGGUAACGGCUCACCAAGGCGACGAUGUCUAGGGGUUCUAAGAGGAUGAUC
RNAcentral lists this ribosomal RNA (249 nucleotides) under uncultured bacterium. Its description in RNAcentral is "partial 16S ribosomal RNA". It matches the Rfam family "Bacterial small subunit ribosomal RNA", at positions 57 to 305 of the family's 1533-position model. The record is from RNAcentral.